CAGUCGCCACGGUAAUACGUAGGUGGCAAGCGUUGUCCGGAAUUAUUGGGCGUAAAGGGCUCGUGGGCGGUUUCUUAAGUCUGAUGUGAAAGCCCCCGGCUCAACCGGGGAGGGUCAUUGGAAACUGGGAAACUUGAGUGCAGAAGAGGAGAGUGGAAUUCCACGUGUAGCGGUGAAAUGCGUAGAGAUGUGGAGGAACACCAGUGGCGAAGGCGACUCUCUGGUCUGUAACUGACGCUGAGGAGCGAAAGCGUGGGGAGCGAACAGGAUUAGAGACCCCCGUAGUCCCUGUCUCUUAUAC
RNAcentral lists this ribosomal RNA (301 nucleotides) under uncultured bacterium. RNAcentral's name for it is "partial 16S ribosomal RNA". It matches the Rfam family "Bacterial small subunit ribosomal RNA", at positions 509 to 807 of the family's 1533-position model. The record is from RNAcentral.